This 301-nucleotide ribosomal RNA is filed under the name uncultured bacterium. Its description in RNAcentral is "partial 16S ribosomal RNA". It matches the Rfam family "Bacterial small subunit ribosomal RNA", at positions 509 to 807 of the family's 1533-position model. The record is from RNAcentral.
CAGUCGCCGCGGUAAUACGUAGGUGGCGAGCGUUGUCCGGAAUUAUUGGGCGUAAAGGGCUCGCAGGCGGUUUCUUAAGUCUGAUGUGAAAGCCCCCGGCUCGACCGGGGAGGGUCAUUGGAAACUGGGAAACUUGAGUGCAGAAGAGGAGAGUGGAAUUCCACGUGUAGCGGUGAAAUGCGUAGAGAUGUGGAGGAACACCAGUGGCGAAGGCGACUCUCUGGUCUGUAACUGACGCUGAGGAGCGAAAGCGUGGGGAGCGAACAGGAUUAGAUACCCCGGUAGUCCCUGUCUCUUAUAC